AUUGAACGCUGGCGGCAGGCCUAACACAUGCAAGUCGAGCGAGCGGCGGACGGGUGAGUAAUGUCUGGGAAACUGCCUGAUGGAGGGGGAUAACUACUGGAAACGGUAGCUAAUACCGCAUACCAUCAGAUGUGCCCAGAAGGGAUUAGCUAGUAGGUGGGGUAACGGCUCCCCUAGGCGACGAGCCCUAGCUGGUAUGAGAGGAUGACCAGCCACACUGGAACUGAGCAACGGUCCAGAAGCCGACGGGAGGAAGCAGUGGGGAAUAUUGCACAAUGGGCGCAAGCCUUAUGCAGCCAUGCCGCGUGUGUGAAGAAGGCCUUCGGGUUGUAAAGCACUUUCAGCGGGGAGGCGUUACCCGUAGAAGAAGCACCGGCUAACUCCGUGCCAGCAGCCGCGGUAAUUC
RNAcentral lists this ribosomal RNA (406 nucleotides) under uncultured bacterium. RNAcentral describes it as "partial 16S ribosomal RNA". It matches the Rfam family "Bacterial small subunit ribosomal RNA", at positions 30 to 526 of the family's 1533-position model. The record is from RNAcentral.